AGCUCUCCGAGUGGUGUGGAUGUUUAUUGGGCCUAAAGCAUCCGUAGCUGGCCAAGUUAGUCCCCUGUUAAACCCACCGAAUCAAUCGUUGGAUUGCGGGGGAUACUGCUCGGCUAGGGGACGAGAGAGGCAGACGGUAUUUUCGGGGUAGGGGUGAAAUCCUAUAAUCCCCGGGAAGACCACCAGUGGCGAAGGCUGUCUGCUAGAACGCGCCCGACGGUGAGGGAUGAAAGCUGGGGGAGCGAACC
Molecule: ribosomal RNA, 248 nt
Filed under: uncultured crenarchaeote
Lineage: Archaea; Thermoproteati; Thermoproteota
Description: partial 16S ribosomal RNA
Rfam family: Archaeal small subunit ribosomal RNA
Source: RNAcentral